Molecule: ribosomal RNA, 474 nt
Filed under: Triticum aestivum (bread wheat)
Lineage: Eukaryota; Viridiplantae; Streptophyta; Magnoliopsida; Poales; Poaceae
Description: partial small subunit ribosomal RNA
Source: RNAcentral
AUGGUAUUUUUGCUUGUCCCCCUCGCCAGCCCAGUAAAAUCUGGACUGAUAUUUGGCCACCUCCUGGUGAAGCGUCUCAUGGAGUCUAUAGAAGCUCAUGAGGAACCAGAGAAGGCUAGCCAGCGAGGAGUUGAUGAGGAUUACCCGCGCCGCCUUCGAGAGCCACCGGCCCUUCCAGGGCUCGACUCGGUGUUGCAUCCGGGUCACGGAAGGGCGGAGGUCCGCUACGGUGAGGCGAGAGUCACUAAUGGGGAUCCCCAGAUAGGUCGUGGGGAAAGAACCCAGGCGGCAAUUAAGCCGGUCCGCAAUGCCCUGGGCCUCCACCGGUGGGUAUCCCAGCACCAUCACCUCGCUCUUAUCAAAGUUGAUGGUCAGACCGGACAUCCGUUGGAAGCAGAGGAGGAGGAACAUCAGGUUGGCAAUAUCGGACUCGGAGCCCUCAACCAUUAUUAUGGUGUCAUCGGCAUAUUGUAG